GGAGUCUGGACCGUGUCUCAGUUCCAAUGUGGGGGACCUUCCUCUCAGAACCCCUAACCAUCGUCGCCUUGGUGGGCCGUUACCCCGCCAACUAGCUAAUGGUACGCGAGCCAAUCCGGUAUCGAUAAAUCUCUCAACAUAAGGCGAUGCCACCUCAUGUGUUACGGGGUAUUACGCAUCGUUUCCAAUGACUAUCCCCCAGUACCGGGCAUGUUGCUCACGCGUUACUCACCCUUUCGCCGGUCGCCGCCAGAGUAUUGCUACCCCGCGAUGCCCCUCGACUUGCAUGUGUUAAGCCUGCCGCUAGCGUUCAUC
Molecule: ribosomal RNA, 315 nt
Filed under: uncultured Bacteroidales bacterium
Lineage: Bacteria; Pseudomonadati; Bacteroidota; Bacteroidia; Bacteroidales
Description: partial 16S ribosomal RNA
Source: RNAcentral